RNAcentral lists this ribosomal RNA (253 nucleotides) under uncultured bacterium. RNAcentral's name for it is "partial 16S ribosomal RNA". It matches the Rfam family "Bacterial small subunit ribosomal RNA", at positions 524 to 776 of the family's 1533-position model. The record is from RNAcentral.
UACGUAGGGGGCAAGCGUUGUCCGGAUUUAUUGGGCGUAAAGAGCGUGUAGGCGGUCUGGUAGGUCCGUUGUGAAAACUCGAGGCUCAACCUCGAGACGCCGAUGGAAACCAUCAGCCUAGAGUCCGGAAGAGGAGAGUGGAAUUCCUGGUGUAGCGGUGAAAUGCGCAGAUAUCAGGAAGAACACCCGUGGCUAAGGCGGCUCUCUAGUACGGUACUGACGCUGAGACGCGAAAGCGUGGGGAGCGAACAGG